GAGCGGUAACAGGAGAAGCUUGCUUCUCGCUGACGAGCGGCGGACGGGUGAGUAAUACUUAGGAAUCUACCUAGUAGUGGGGGAUAGCUCGGGGAAACUCGAAUUAAUACCGCAUACGACCUACGGGAGAAAGGGGGCAACUUGUUGCUCUCGCUAUUAGAUGAGCCUAAGUCGGAUUAGCUAGAUGGUGGGGUAAAGGCCUACCAUGGCGACGAUCUGUAGCUGGUCUGAGAGGAUGAUCAGCCACACCGGGACUGAGACACGGCCCGGACUCCUACGGGAGGCAGCAGUGGGGAAUAUUGGACAAUGGGGGCAACCCUGAUCCAGCCAUGCCGCGUGUGUGAAGAAGGCCUUUUGGUUGUAAAGCACUUUAAGCAGUGAAGAAGACUCCAUGGUUAAUACCCAUGGACGAUGACAUUAGCUGCAGAAUAAGCACCGGCUAACUCUGUGCCAGCAGCCGCGGUAAUACAGAGGGUGCAAGCGUUAAUCGGAAUUACUGGGCGUAAAGCGAGCGUAGGUGGCUUGAUAAGUCAGAUGUGAAAGCCCCCGGGCUUAACCUGGGAACGGCAUCUGAU
This 575-nucleotide ribosomal RNA is filed under the name Psychrobacter sp. Ae3. Its description in RNAcentral is "bacterial SSU rRNA". It matches the Rfam family "Bacterial small subunit ribosomal RNA", at positions 64 to 631 of the family's 1533-position model. Lineage: Bacteria; Pseudomonadati; Pseudomonadota; Gammaproteobacteria; Moraxellales; Moraxellaceae. The record is from RNAcentral.